UGGGGAAUUUUGGACAAUGGGCGCAAGCCUGAUCCAGCAAUGCCGCGUGCAGGAUGAAGGCCUUCGGGUUGUAAACUGCUUUUGUCAGGGAAGAAACGAGUUUCUCUAAUACAGAGACUUAAUGACGGUACCUGAAGAAUAAGCACCGGCUAACUACGUGCCAGCAGCCGCGGUAAUACGUAGGGUGCAAGCGUUAAUCGGAAUUACUGGGCGUAAAGCGUGCGCAGGCGGUUAUGCAAGACAGAUGUGAAAUCCCCGGGCUCAACCUGGGAACUGCAUUUGUGACUGCAUAGCUGGAGUGCGGCAGAGGGGGAUGGAAUUCCGCGUGUAGCAGUGAAAUGGGUAGAUAUGCGGAGGAACACCGAUGGCGAAGGCAAUCCCCUGGACCUGUACUGACGCUCAUGCACGAAAGCGUGGGGAGCAAACA
Molecule: ribosomal RNA, 427 nt
Filed under: uncultured bacterium
Lineage: Bacteria
Description: bacterial SSU rRNA
Rfam family: Bacterial small subunit ribosomal RNA
Source: RNAcentral